Molecule: long non-coding RNA, 31127 nt
Filed under: Coffea arabica (coffee)
Lineage: Eukaryota; Viridiplantae; Streptophyta; Magnoliopsida; Gentianales; Rubiaceae
Description: long non-coding RNA (CARA_LNC006025)
Source: RNAcentral
UUUUUUUUUUUUUUGUAUGUGAUAUAUGUGAAAUAAAAAGGUGAUUGAAAUUGUGUAGAAGGAAUAUUCAAGGAAAACAAUAAAAUUUUUCUGUAGAAAAGCACAAUCCAUAUGGGAAUGAAAAAUUCGCAAAUGGGGAAUUUUUCAAGUAUAACAAAUUUUAGUCCUAAAAUUGUAAAAGAUAUGAUGGUGCUUAAACCCAACUUCUCUCACCUCCACCUACAUUCCAUAGUCUAGUUCCAAACAAAAAUAUUGAAGGUUAGUUUGACAAAAAAAAAAGGAAAAAGAUUCACAAAACCAAAUUACUAUUAAACUAUAUAUAUCAUGUACUUUGAAUAAUUGAAUUAUCUUUUUGGUUUAAAAUCAACUUUUAAUAUCAUGUAUUUUUGUAUAUUCAAUCCAAUUUUGGGAUCAAAUGAAACACGUAUGACAUGAUUUCAUACAUAGGCUGUGCAACAUGUCCACUAAUGUUCACCCCGAAAUCGAACGAAAUGAUCAAAAGUAUACUACUUCAAAAGCUGUGCGGUGAUUUGAAGACCACAAUAAUUUAGUGCCAGAAAUACACAAUAUGAAUAAUUAACUUAGUAGUUAUGAAUAAUAGGAAUUAGAGGUUUUGGGUUCUAACUGAAACAGCAAGUCUUUCUAUACGCACUGAACACUUUCACAAAUUUCUCUCACCAUUAAUGUUUUGUUUCUAUUCAAUUCUUGAUGAACUUCUGCCAACAUAUUUCUAUCUCACCAUCCUAGCAGCUCCCUUAUCUUCAUCCGAAAAGUCCAAACUAUACAAGCCGCUUAUGUAUUUAUGGGAAUCUUUUUAAAAUUGCAUUUGGAAUCUAAACUUAUCCUUAUCAUCUAAUACAUAUAUAUAUAUAUAUAUAUAUAUAUAUAUAUAUAUAUAUAUAUAUAUAUAUAUGUGUGUGUGUGCGCGCGCGCGCACGCGCUUUUACGUGCUUGAUUAUACGAAAAGGUUUUUCUGUUGUAUUUGUCAACUUCUUUUUUUGCAGGUAUAUCAAGGUUUCUUUUCGUUUACAGUUUUCUGCAUUUUUUUUUUCUUUUCAAGAUUCUUAGUGAUGGAUUUUUUAAACCGUUUAAAGAUUUGCUUAUCAUUUUGGUUUAUAAGAAAGUUUUACGAGAUUUGUUCGGAGUUUUAUUACUUGAGGAUCAUGUGGUUAUUUAUCAAUUUUUUAUUCUUAGGUUUAGUAGAUUUCAAAAGUUUACAUGAACUUUAAGAUGGAACCGUGGAAUUUUAAUGUUGGUUGUGGCACAUUGUAUCACAGUUUUAUGACAUUUUGAGUUCCUCAAUUGACAAUUCUAAUUAAUCUUUGCCUCACAAUAUGAAUUAUCUUCAAUCAGAUUUUCACAAUAUGUAUUUUUGCAUAGAAUAGUAGUAGGCCUAUAAUCUUUUUUGUUUUUUCAUACUAGCAGGGAAAUGAUGAGAAUUAAGAAGUACGAAGUGGGAAUGAAGAGGUUAAAUUCACGACUUCUAAAUCUUAGUAUCCCAACAUCAGCUAUUAGACCAAGUUUUUCUUGGCCUUGUUAACGGUAUUUGCACGGUAUUUUGGUUGACUUAUCACGUUUCAUCAUUUACUUACCUUUACUUGUUAACGGCAUUUGCACGUAAAUGUGAUUGCAAUCCAUGCGUGGGGCUAGAGGAUUGAAGGCCCCGGAUCUACCCGUACGAAAGAGGCUUCAAGGUGGGGAUCCUGGGCCUUGUAAUUUGAGGCACUUUCCAGUUGACACAAUUUCAUGGUCUGGAAUUAAAGUUGGUUGACAUAUGGUUCAGAUUAAGCUAGCAACCACUUUAAAAGAAUGGUGUUGUUUAGUGAAGCACAAAAAAAAAGUGAAAAAUGAGGAAACAGGCAUAAAUGGCAUUUACAAGAAGGUCCAAUAUUUAACCACUGAGCUUUGGCUCAGUGGCCACCAAAAAGGGACUAAAGUCCCUCUUUGGACUGUAGGUCAGGAAUUUGAAUCUUAUCUGCAGUGAAAAAAAUGCAAAGGAGGCGCCAAAACAUCCCUUUGGUUUAGUAUGUUCUUAUACCUACUAGCUCCCUUAUACACAACUUCUUUAGACUCCCCUUCUCCCUAAAUUAGGAUAGAUUAAGUUAUAUAAAUGUUAUCGUUGCCGUAAAAAAAAAAAAAGGUCCAGUAUUUAGAAAAAAAAAAUUUUUUUAAACCAAAAAGAAAAAACGGAUUCAAAAGAUGCAUUCUUCAACCAGGAAGCACAGCAGCUUGGAAAGGCUUUGAGUAGGAGAGGGGAGAAAUUGAUGAGACGAAGGAAAGGUGCAACGCUAGUGAAACUGAUGAGGUGAAAUUCACAGUUGGGUUACUGGUUUGAAGUAAUCACCUAAAGACACUCCUUUAUUACUAAAAGAUAUGCUUUUGGGUAUCUAUAAAAUUUGAAAUUUGCUCCAUUUUCGUUGAUUUCAAACAUAAUGAGAUAGAAAAUAUAUGUUAUUUUCACAUGUUUGUCAAUGUUAGAUGGAUGGUGAAGGAUGAGAGUAGUGAUAGAGGUAGACAUGAACCCUAAUUUUGAAUUAACUAAUACUGAUUUUAAGACUAGAUUUUCCUAUUCUUAGAUUGGCCUGAAAAUUAUUUUGGGGUUUCAAUUAGUGUUGCAAGAGAAAGUAUUAGAAAUCUUUUUGGUGCAAUUUAUCAGUUUGUGGUGUUAUAGCCGAGGAGUUUUGUUCAUUUAUUGCAUGCAUGAUGUUGGAUGAGAAUUAGGCUGUUUGCAAGAACUUAUUGCUUUGGCUGGGUGAGGUUAGAGAAGAGAAGAAUCUGUUGGUUUUUCGUUUCUUGUUCUUUUUUUCUUGCUGUCUGACUCCUGAGGGGUCACCUGGUUUACUGGUUAGGUAAAGUGUUAAGGGUUGUAGAAACUUUGCUAAGGCUUUGCUUGGGAUAGUCUUUGCACGAAUUAAAAUCACGAAGCAUAAAUGAUUCUUAUUCUUUUUCUUUCAGUCUAUUUUUUGUUUUAUUCUUCCUUGUACAUUCAUAUUUUUGUUCAUAAACCUUGGUUUAGCAUAAAAUUUUUUUAGAAAGCACAUUUGGCUUAAUUGAAAUCUCAAUUUGUAAAUGGAACACAAUUGUCCCUCUGUGCUACUGUUUAACAAUGGAAAACAUUUUUGAUUUGGCAAUGAAUGAAAAGGAAAUAGUGGGGAUUGUGGUUCCAACUUUCCAUUCCAUGGACAGAUUAUAAAGCAAAUCUUAUUUUGUCUUUUCCAUGCACAAAUCUGUUGUAGCAUUUCUUGAAAGAAUGGCAAAUUCGAAACUGCCUCCAACCAGCCUCAAUAACUAUUGGCAAUCUUUUGCAAGCAAUUUGUAUUCCUUUAUUUAGAUUAGCACUUGGAUGAAUUAUAAAUCAAUGAGUCCAAGUUGUGCAUUUUUUUGGGUACAACCCACAAGUAUCCGCCUCCAUUUUACAGUCUACAACUAAUCCUGUUCGAAUUGCGUCAGACCGCUUGCAGGGAGAAACUCUCCCAAUAUUAUUUUUUCCAUUUUCAUGGGUUUCGAACCCAAGAACUCAUGAUUAAGGGAUGCAAGCCCCUUCCGCUUGCACCGACAUCCGUUGGUCAAGUUGUGCAUUUCUAUCUUGGUGCCACUCAUCCCCUUAGUCUUUCCAAUCACUAGCCCCUUCCAGAUGCUCUACAAUUGCGUUUUCAAUGGUGGCACUUCUCUCAAUGCUGCCCGUGUAUCCCUAUCGCCAAACACCUUGUCCAUCCCUCAAUAGUCCACCAAAGGUUACAGGUCUUGGAUCUCCAUUGAUACCUGCACUGAUGUUUAUUUUGCAUUCACAAAUGGCACUUACUCCUGUUUUGACUUCUUGCCUUUAAUUUCAGCUAGACCACAUAAACCGAAAGAUUUACCAGUUAAUGAUUUCACAGUAGUUGAACUGUUAGGUUCAAACUUUCCAUGCAUCCACCCAAUAAAAGCAUUAGCAAUUAAAGUUUUAUGGGUCUAUUUGCAGUAAUUGCUUCCAAAUUCCUCUCCAUUUUAUUGGAGUUAAUAGCUUAUGGUAAGAAGCGUCGCAGAAAUAUUACAUGGAUAAGCAGGUGAAGGAUGAAUUGUGAAGUCAUAUCUCUGUCUGCAGCGGAGCUUUUAUGUAUCACCAUUUGCAAGAAGUUCUCUUACCUUCUGAGAUAACUCACUAAAUCUCUUUUAUUUUAGUUAGUUCUGCUGUUAUCUAUCAUUUGUUUGUUGGUGUACAUAUUCUUCAUUUUUUAUGGGAUUAGAACUCAUGUCCUCCGUUUAUCUAAGAAAUAGAGAAGAAAAAGAAAAAAGGAAAAUAAUUAAACCAAAAACUAUAUAAAACACGAAACUGCUAAAAAAUAAAAUGCAUAAUCUGAUGAAAUCAUAGAAGAAAAAGGAAAAUAGUAACACAAGUGAACUAUUUAAAAAGCAAAACUACUGAAAUAAAUGCAGACUUGAAUGAUAAGAAAAAAUGUAUAAAAUACUAACAAAAACUAUGAUGAUUACUCUAAUUAAAAACUCUAAGAGACUUUUGGGCAGAUUUAUGAAUGGUAAGUGGUUCAUAUCACCAAAUAAUCAAGAAAAAGUAAAAUAGAAACCAAUUUUUAUCCAAUGUCGAUAUCUCUUGCAGAGAUUACAUUUAACACCCUGCCCGGAGGAAAGAAAGGGGGAAAAAUUAAAUAUUCUAAUGGGGCAUUUUUGGUUGAUUAGGAACAAAUUUCUUGCUUGCCUUUUCUAUAAUUAACUGAAAUUUGAUUUCAGCCUAUUAGUCCCUUUAAGCCAUAAAUUAACCUGUUUUUUCUUCGAACUGUAGAAACAAAAUUUGUAGUGAAACAUCAAAAAGUGAUCAUCUUAUCCUGCCUACAUUGCAGCGAGUAGUGACUAAACUCCAAAAAGGCUCCAGCAUGUUCAAGUCUAUAUUGUAAGACUGGUUAUUAGCAAUUUAACAUGGACAGGAUGGCAGAAUGCAUCAUCAAGUUCCUAAACUAUUAUUCUUAAACAUUAGUCAAGAUUAUCAAGUAACUUCUACCAGAAAAUGAAAAGAAUCUAAAAAUUGGGAUAUUAGCUUUUAAAUAUCAAAAGCAAAAUUAAGGAGUUUUAAAGCUACAAAAUGAUCAAUUUGUCCUUGUUAAGGACAUCCCCAAAUGAAGAAAAAUUAUUACAUAUUAAUUUCUUUAAUUUGAAAGAAUAUGCCUCGUCCACUUCUGCUGGCCAUCGCCCUUGAGCGUCAAAUCGUGUUUGGAAUAUCAAUAUAUCUAUCUUUUCAUGCAAUUGUGAGGCAUUAAGAUGAUCACCUUAAUACCAAAUCAAUAUUUGUUGUUAUCUAUAAUGUUCCUAUCCGUCGUGCUAAGUCUUGUCUAAAAGCAUCUUCCAUAAAUAUAUUUCUAAAUUUCUUAGCGAUGUUCCAGGAAUAUGUCCUGUCUAUCGUGUGGAGCUAGCAUCUCAGAUCGUUUGCUACUCUCAAAAUUCAAUUCAUGGCAUAGUUCUACAAGCUACUGGAAUUCCUAUUUCUACAACUUAGGUCAACAUUCAUAUUUGGUAUUUGGAAAAUUGCCCUCACUUGUUGGGUGUAAAAAUUAUUGGUGACAAUGUAUAUUGUGAAAGCUUAUCAAUGUUUAUAGUUUGAGAUGUAUGGUGAAAGAUGCGUGUGGUGAUUGGAAAUAUUUGUUAAGGAAAAAUGGAUUUCACUUUCUCAUACAAUAUUUCUGUGGCAUAUGAAAAUCAUAUAGGUGCAUAAUUAUCAUAGUUUUUUCUUUUUACAACCACUUGUGCACUUGUUGAAUUGUCGAUUAGACAAAUAUGUAAGUAGGCAAUUGCAAGGAGUGUAAUACUAGGCCGUAACAACUUAGACAGGAGGUGUAAUUUUAAAAUAAAAAUUUUGAAUUUCAGUGCAAUAUUUUUUCCUCUCAUUUAAAGGAACACUGAAUAGUUUGAUGUGUCAUAUAAUACCUAUUGAUUAGUUUUAUAACAGAUAUAAGACCAUAUCAUUUAAAAGUGUUAUAAAUGUACGAUAGAAGCUACCUAUCAUUCUAAUUUAUGAUUACAUGGUCUUCAUCUUAUUAGAUUCAUGUUACGCCGCUUGCUGUAUAGUGACAUUAAUUAUUUAAUUAUGGGUAUGAGACCAUUGUAUUUAGACAUAUUAUGUGGGGACCCGUAAAUUUUUCUAAUUUUAUAUUAUUUAUUUUAUUUCCUCGCCUGCAUUUUUCUUCAUUAUACCCUACUAUUUCUAUUUUUCCAGAGAUUUUAUAAGUGAAUAGAGUUUUUAAAUCAUUUUCUUAGUUUAAAUUAGUUCAUGAUAAGUUUGAAGUGUAUUAUUGACGUGGGACCCGCUAGUGCGGUAAAUGCGAUAUAUUUUUGACAACUUGUUGGAGUUUUGUAUCAAGUGAUAUUAUUUUACAAGGUGUUAGGAUACAAUUAGAGGUUAAUUAGAUAUAUUACUAUUGGUAGACAAAAGGAUAGAAUUGAAACCCUAAAGGGCCACUUGUCACCAAACUAUUGGAACUUGGACUUUGACCUAACUUUCUUACCUUUACUAAAUACCAAAAAUUUUGACCAAAAAUAUCCCAUUUUUUCAUGAAGCUUGGCCAAACCUUUGAGGAGAGAAAAGAGAGGAAAACUUCAUCUUGUUUCUUCAAAUCCAAACCCAAAUCUUGAGUUCCAACCAUUAACAUCUCAAAUCACUCUAUAAAAACUCCUUGCUAGGAAGGAUUAAAGAGGUUGGUGGAGUUGUUUUGGAAAGGGAAGACCUAAAUUGCUAGCUUUCUUGAGUUUUUGAGGUGAGUUGCUAAGAAAUUCUUCCUUUGUUCUUGAUAAUAUUAAAUUAGUGGUUUUAGUGGCUAAAUAUGUUGAUUUGUGGUAGGUUUUAUGGUUGAAAGUGGAGUUUUGAUGGAUUUUUGAUUUAUUAGUGAUUUUUCUGUUUUUAUAUAGUAAUUAUUAUUUAGUCAUGGAUUGAUGGCUUGUUAUAACAUAAAAUGGAGUUUGUAUAUAUUGGAUAUGAUUGGUUACGGAAAAUUUCUGGUUUGGUGCGGAUAUUUCAGUUUAGGGUUUCAUCUUACCCUGUUCUGCUCGGUUCUGUUCGGUCAUGAUGGAGGCCGAAUCAGCCUUAGAUUAAAACAUGAAAGUUGUAGGAAAUGAUGUUUUAUAGCUGUCUGUAAAUUUUCAACUCAAUCCGAGCACUGUAACAUGUAAAAAGACAAAAAUACCCCUGACUGCCAUAGGUAGAGCUCUGUGGACAGUGUUGACAUUUCACCCAAUCUGACGGCAUCUGUUCACCUUGAUCCGUACUGAAUUAGCAUCUGGCCGAAACACGAAAGUUGUAGUGCUAUGUCUUAACUUUCCAACAGCCCUAAAAACGUCUCAAUCGGACUUCAGUAGCUUGAGCUAUUGUCGUUUACACAUUGUGCGGUUAACUAGCCUGAUUGUGAGACUCUGAUUCUAUAAUUUGAAAUUUUGAUCUAGUUACACUACGAACUGGACUGAGUGUCUUCAUCAAAAUUGUAGCCCUUUAUUUUAGCUUCGAAACGGAAUAAAUUGCACACCAAUUCGAUAAGCGUAGCUUCUGUUGUGUCCGAUACGCUAAGCGACGUCAAAUCUAUCUUUUGUUUUAUGGCUUAAACUUCAUUUCCGGACAUUUCCUAACUUGAUUUUGUACUUGUAUGACAUUGAGCCUAUUGAACGGCUAUUGAAAUGAGAUUAUUUUGUGUGUGACAUUGGGGCUGAUUUGAGGAAAAAUUAAGCCAUGAUGGCUAGAAAAGUAAGCAAAUUUAGGGGAGAUGCUAUCCAAUUUUCUAGGCCAUUUGGUUCCUUUAAGUUUGAGUUGCCUUUUGGUAGAGAUGAAGGGCUUUUGGGUCAUUCAAGCCCUAGGUCCUCUUGUUACCUUUUCGUUUCAAAAUCACGCUUUUGCACCUUUGCAUUUGUGGUUCGUUUGGUUAGGCACACGACUCAUAGUUGAGUUUUAUUUAUGAAUGUCAUUUCCAUAGGAACCAUAAUUGUUUUACUUUGCUCAUUUUAGGACGUGCUGGUGAUCCAGGAAGUACUUCGGGGGGGAACGUUUGAAUUUGUUUUACUUGAACUGGUAAAUGUAUCACUCCCCUCACUUGUUGUUUAACUUGGUUUCUGUACAUACAAUCUGUGAUAUGAAUGACUGUACUAUCUGUUUAUUCUAUUUGAGACGAAUGUGUACUUUAUCACACUCGUUCUCUUGUCUGUUCGUAUGCCAAUUUACUAUGUGAAUUUGAAUCUGUUAUCUAUAUCUGUAUCUGUUCUGACGUCGUUUGGAAGAUUGUAUCCAACGACCUUUCUGUGACCUCUGAGCUCAAAUCCUGUGGCUAAGUUACUUAAGUCGAGCCGGCAAGGGUUUGGUCGAUUAGAUAACGAACCACAGUAUUCUGUUCUAGGAAUCAUUGGAUAUUGAGACCCUUGAUUCCGAUAUACUCGAGUAUUACCACUUCUGUUUCUGUUGAGGUGUUCGGGUCCGGUAAAGAGUAUGUGUGGUGAACGGGAUUUUAGUGUAAAGUGGUGUUCUACUGGACUGGACUGGUUACUUUAUUUGAAAAGUUGACGGAGUGUCAACUAAUAUUUGAUCAAGAUUCGGUGAAGCAAAUGGGAAUUUGACACCUGAGAGUCACCCGUAUCCUUUCUAUCUAUGGUGUUUGUUCAUUUCUUUAUUUGAUUUGUAUAUGUGACUAAUUGAAUAUGAAAUUCCAUAACUCUUACUUGCUAUUAUUUUAGUACCUCAUUGAGCAUAAGUUCACCCCUUCCCAUUACUUUUGUUUUCCUUUCAGGGGCAAACUUUGAAUCCAUGAUCUUGGAAGAAAAGGUCGAGCUAGCGUAAUUAGUGUUUUGUUAAGUUCUUUUGCAACCGAAACCCGAAUCAUAUUUUUAAGUGUAUGAAUACUUUGGCUUGUACUUUAGGUUAGUUAAUUUGUUAAAGACUCCGAUGUAAAUAUAUGUAUAAGUGUUUAACCUUGUCUAUGAAGUGUAUUCAUUUGAGAUUAUGAUUUUAUGGUUUGGUAAGCAUGUUCUCACCUUAGUAGUCUCCAAUUGUUCAUUUUCUUUGGGUCUUAUCGCGCGUGGUACAGGGAUUUAUGUGAUUUGACUCCAUAGUCCUGGCGAGAGUUGGGCAGGCAGUCCGCCGAACCCUUUGGUUUGCCUUAGGGUGAAGUGGGGCUGACUCAUAUUACAAUAAGUCCAAUCAAGAUUACUUAUCAUCCUGAACGAUUAUGAUAAUAUAUUUUCAUUUGUUGAAAGUUAUACGAUUAGUCUUCAAAGUUACACCGUAAUAUAGAAAAGUUACACUGACAAAGUUACACCGACAAAGUGAAAGUUGAUAUAUAUAGACAAAUAAUUGUGUUUGGAUUGUAAAUUAUUUGAGAUAAUUUUGUGAAAAAAAUACUAUAGCACUUUUUUGAUAUAAUGUAUGUGAAAUAAAAAGAUGAUUGAAAAAUGUGUUGAUGAUGCAAAUACAUCAAUAUGUGUAAAUAAGGUAUAAAUAAGGUGAAAUAAUUAACAAUCCAAACACACUUGAUGUACAAUUAUCUUUUUGUCGAUGUAACACUUUUUCCUCGUUUAAAGAUACAUUGUUUAGUUCUAUAAGGGAUGUAAGAUCAUAUCAUUUAAAGGUAUCACAAAUAUACUAUAACGACUACCUAUCAUACAUAGUGAUGAUAACUUAAUCUUUAGGGAAAAAUAAUUGGCCCUCCAACUAUUAACUAAUAAGUUUUAACCCUCAAACUAAUUAAAACACAUAAUCCUAAUCCUUAAUUUGAGUCAUUAUUUUUAAUAGAAAUAGCACAACAUGUGCCUUCGCGGCCCUUAAAUUAUUACAAAACUCACUUUUUGGUCAUCCAACUAUUAACUGAUAAGUUGUAAUCCUUCAACUAAUUAAAACAUAUAAUUCUAGUCAUUUCAUUAAUUUGAGUCAUUAUGUCAAAUAGAAACAUUACUAUGUGCAUGAUAGGAGGCAUAUUGAAAUGUCCCUAUUUUUGUGUCUAAAUCUAAAAAAUAUACAACACAUUAGUGUCACAAUUAAGACACAAACAAUGGUUAUGAAACAAUAUAUCACUAUUUUAAUCCUACCAGAUGCAUGAAUCUAAUGAACAUGUCCUAUGAAGAUAAAAAUGCCCCUUGAUUAUGCUUCCACCGUACAUGUAGAGAUUUUUCUUUCUAUUCGACAUAAUAACUCAAGUUGAAGGAAUGGUUAGAAUUAUACUUUUUAAUUAAUUGAUGGGUUAAAACUUAUCAGUUAAUAGUUAGAUGACCAAAAGUUGAAUUUUGUAAUAAUUUGAGGACCAUUAGGGAAUCAUGAAUCCUAUAACUCAAGUUGACAUAACGACUCAAGUUGACGGAAAAAGUAAAAUUAUACAUUUUAAUUAAUUGGAGGGCUAAAACUUAUUAGUUAACAGUUGGAGGGACAAAAGUUGAACUUUGUAAUAGUUUGAGACCCACUGGAGAAUGUUGCCCUAAUCUUUAUCUCAGUAGGAUAAAUUUACAUCAUUUACUAUAUAGGCAUGUUAAUUGUUUAAUUACUGAUGUAAGAUCAUUCUUGUAAAUGUAUUAACAUAGGUCCAAUCAAAACUGCUAGUUAUUCUAAAUAAUAACAAUAUUGCAUCUUUACCUUCUUUAAAGUUACGCAACUAGUCUUUAUAGUAUACCGUAAUACUAGAAAAUCAUAUUGAUAAUAUGUACAUUGACAAGCAUAGCAUAAGAGAUAGAUAUUCAUUCACAUGAUCAAAGAUACAUCUCUCAUCGAUAUAAGAUUAUCAUCCCUUUUAAAGGUUCGUUGAGAAGUUUUACAAGAGAUGUAAGAUCAUCUCAUUUAAAGGUAUGACAAACGUACAAUGAACACUAUCCAACGUCUUAUUUGAUGAUGGCAUAAUCUUUAUUUUAUUAGACUAAAGUUAUGCCACUUCUUGCAGAUAAACAUUAAAUGUUUAAUUAUUGGUAUGAAACCAUUGCAUUUAAUUAUAUUAGCAUAUAUGCAAUCAAACUUAUCUAUCAUUCCGAACGAUAACGAUAAUGCAUUUUAAUUUUUAGAAAGUUACCAUUUUAAUUUUCACGGUUAUAUCUUAACACUAUAAAGUUACACCAACAAAGUAUAAGUUGCCUACCUAGAGAAAGAGAUACAUAUGCAUUGACAUGAUUAAAUGCAUGUGACCAAUAAUGGAAUUAUUUUUCCGUCAACAUAAGAUUAUCGUUCUCUUAAAAGGUAUAUCAAAUAGUUUUACGAGAGACAUAAGACCGUCUCAUCUAAAGGUAGUAAAACAUAUGACGAGCGCUACCUAUCUUGCAACUUGAUGAUGACAUAAUUUUCAUCUUAUUAAAUCAAAAUUACACCAUUUGAUAUAAAGGUACAUAAAAUGUUUAAUUAAGGCCAUAAGAUCAUCGUAUUUAAAUGUAUCGGCAUAGGUUCCAUUAAUUCUAUCUACAACGAUAAUGUAUUCUUAUCUUUUAUAAAGUUAUACCUUUAGUCUUCCUAAUUGUACCUUAAUAUUACGGAGUUAAACCUUAAUACUAUGAAAUUACACCUUAAUUCUAUGAAAUCACACUAAUAAAAUUAAGUUGCAUUGACAUUAUUUACUACAUGUGAUCAACAAUGAAAUUAUUUUCUUGUUGAUAUAAGAUUAUCCUCAUAUUUAAAGGUACAUUGAAUAGUUUUAUGAGAGUUAUACGAUCGUCUCAUUUAGAGGUAUUAUAGGUGUACAAUGAACACUAUGUAUCAUUGCACUUAAUGAUAACAUAAUCUUCACCUAGUCAAUCUGAAGUUACACUACUUAAUAUAAAAGCACAUUAAAUAUUUAAUUAUGUGUGUAAUACCAUUGCAUUUAAAUGUAUUAAUAUAGAUGCAAUCAAAAUGUUUUGUUACUUACAAUUUUCGGCUUUGAACCUCAAGAGUCUUGCCUUGUUUUCUUCAAAAUUCUUGACUAUAAUCUAUCUAUUUAUGCUCCAUAUUUUGCUUAAGACAUUAUCUUAUCAUACACGUGGGUUUUUCCCUGUAUUUGAACAAGAAAAUGGUGCAAUUUUGAAAGUUAUAUUGGGAUAAAAUCGACAAAUUGAUGUGUCUUCUAAGUGAAGUUUUGAAACUCUAAGUUUCUUAUUUCUGUUCGCUUUGAUUUGCUAAACUCUUGAUGUGACGGCUCCACCUUCCCCUAAGGCGUACCCCAGGGUUUGGCGGGUCGCCUGCCCAUUUCUCGCCAGGACUCACUUACUUAUAACUCAAGAAAAAUAACAUACAUCCAAAAAUAAAUAAAUAACACAUCUACUUCAACUUAAUACAUAUAUUAAUGCUCAAAUCCAGAUACAAAACUUCUACACGUCAAGAUACUUUCAAGUGGUUACAAUUCAAGUACAAAGAACCCUUGUCGGGUGCUAGCGCGAGUACAAUUCCAAAAUUCAAAACAACUAGAUUAUGCUAAUCUGUACACGUCUCAUGCCUCGCUCGUACUCCCUAUAAGGAAAAUAAAUGGAGUGGAAUGAGCUAAAAAUCCAGUGAGGUUCCAAAUAACAAGUUGACCAUUAUUUAAAGGUACGCGUAUCAACGUAGCAAAAGAUAGCGAGCAUAACAAGUUCAUAAAAGUGAACACUAACACUUCAAGUAGCAAAUUUCCAAUGAACGAGUAUAAAGUGCUUUUGGUUUUCAAAAGAAUAAUAAUCCAAUAAGCAAUAAUCAUUUCCAAGUAUAAGGAUACAGAUGACUCUCAGGAGCCAAGUUCCCAUUGCUUCACCAAAGCUUGAUCAAAUAUUAGUUGAUACUCCGUCAAUUUUCAAGUAAAGUAACCAAUCCAGUAGAGAACCACUUAACUCCAAUCUCCGUCCACCAACCAAACCCCUUACUGGACCCGAACUCCAAGAUAACAUUGGUGGUAAUACUCGAGUAUACCGAUUAGUCGAGGAGAUAACACUCCGCUCGACAUCACUAACUAUCCAUGGUUCAUUAUCUAAUCGACCAAACCCUUGCCGGCUCGACUUGAUUAACUAGCCAGUAGAAUUUGGAUCCCCUAGAAUUCGAUGAGACAACCUCUCCAAUCGACUGAAUCAAGAUAAAAGUACGGAGACGGGAAUGAGAGGUACCUCCCACUCGGAUCGAGUGUGGUACAUACUGCUGCUCAGUACUUACAAGUCACGCACGAAUAUCUCAAAUCAAUUGCAACAAUAAACAAGUACAUAUCACAUUAGGGCAAGUGCAAUAAAGUACACCCUUACCCGAUCAUACCAAUCACAUAUCAUUCAAUCAUAUUGGUCAAGUAUUGAAAACCAGUGUCCAGUUCAAUCAGGUAUUUGGAAGCACUCACCAAAAAUCUAGUACCUCUCAAAAAUCACGUUCCGGUCCAACUCCUUGGUUGGAGUCCAAAUCUGCAAGAAAAUAUCAUUUACGAAUGUAAACCUUUCUAGAGUUUGAAACAUAAGAGUUUCACUUCAAGAAAAUUAAGUAAAUGUAACUUGUUAUGUAGUAUUCAAGAUACUUUUAAAUCUCGAAAAAUUCAUACUCGCUCUUAAACCUUUGAAACUUUGAAGCAAUUAUACUUUGAAAUACCAUUUGAGUCGAAGAAAGGGAGAAAACGUAUUUCUAUUAGUCGUAAUUUUCAUUUUUCCAAGGGUACAAGUUUCGACCGAAUUCUAACUCAUAUCCUCGAUAAAAGAAGAUGUAAAUACCCUAGAUAGUUCAAGUGGUAUUCACUCUCAAGCCUUACUCAAGUCGCAAGUAGAUCUACCUAACCCUCGAGCGUAAAUUUGGGCAGUACGCCCUUUUAUAUAUACCUAUUUCCCAGUCAUUUAUGGAUUCAUUCAUUUCCUCAAUCAGUCCCAAAGUCACACACAAAAUAAUAUCAUUUCAAUAGCCGUUCAAUAGGUUCAAAGUCAUACAAGUACAAAAUAAAGUUAGGAAAAUAUCUGGAAAUGAAGUUUAAGUCCUAAAGCAAAAGACAGAUUUGACGUUGUUUUGCGUAACGGACACAACUGAGGCUAUGCUUAUCAGAUUGGGGUGAAAUUUAUACUGUUUCGAAGCUAAGAGAAAGGGCUACAACUUUGAUGAAGACCACUCAGUCCAGUUCAUAGUGUAACUGGGUCAAAAUUUCAAUGUACAAAACCAGAAUCUCACAAACAGGUUAGCUAACCGCACUAUGGUUAAAUGACAAUAACUAAAGCUACCGAAGUCUGAUUGAGGCAUUUUUAGGGGCGUUGAAAAGCUAAGACAUAGCACUACAACUUCUUUGUUUUGCCCAAAUGCUAAUUCAUUACGGGUCAGGGUGAACAGAUGCGGUCAAGUUGGUGAAAUGUCAAAACUGUCCCUUAAGUUCUACCUAUGGCAGUCAAGGGUAUUUUUGUCUUUUCACAUGAUACAGUACUCGGAUUGAGCUGAAAUUUUACUAGUAGCUAUAAAACAUCAUUACCUACAACUUUUAUGUUUUAUGCUAAGCCUAAUUUAGCCUCCAACCUAGUCAAACAGAACUGGUCAGAACAGGGGAGGUGAAAAACUGAAAUCUAGAAUUUGAGGUUUCAAAGGAAAAUCUCUUCAUUUCUUGCUUAAAUCACUACCACAACCUCUUAUACAAGAUUAUAAUCAUCAUAUACCAUCUACCCAACAAGAAAUACAGUUGAAAACCUCAACCCUAACUCAAGAACAUGCACCAUAUCCAUCCAAACCAUUGAAAUAACUAUCAUUAACCAAAGAUUUGAGGUGCUAUACCAACUUAAACAAGAUUAAAAGUAAGAAAAUGGUAAACCAGCAUUAUUACCUUACUAAAGCUUCUUUCAAGAGUAACCCUAGCUUUCCCUUCCAAACUUUUACCAACCCACAACCACCUAAGUACUCAAAGGAAGUUUUAAUCGGUUUAGAAUCUUGUUUUUCUCACUCAAUCAAGCAAAACCCAAGAUGGAUUGAAAUGGUUUCCUCUCUUCUUUUUCCUCUCACUCUCACGGCUGGAAGACUGUAAAUGAGAGCUCAAAUGAAGCUUCAAGAAGGUUAAAAUGAUAGAAAUGAAUUUGGGUCAAAGGUGACAAGUGUCACACUUUGAUUGGUAGUCAAAUUUUGUUCUUUUCUCUCUUAUUUUUGGCCCAAUAUUUCGGCUGCCUUGAGGAUAUUUUGGGGCUGAUAUUAAUCAAUUAAUAGCAAGGAGAUUAAGGUAAUAAAGUAGUGUUCAAGUGGUGCACUCACUCGGUAACAAACGGUACCCAUCAGUUCAACCCGUUUUUUCUUAAAUCGCAUAUACUAGGGUUUUAACUUAUAAUUCACUAACUUAUUAUUAUCACUUCUAAUCACACACUUAAUAUCAUCUAAAAUUCACUCUUAAUCACCAAAUUUGAUCCACUCUCCGUACCGGAUAGUCACACAAGGGAUAGGCGUAAAAAUCUUAGUUUACCCUAACGAUAAGUUGCUUCCAUAAGUAACAUUAAAGUAAGAAAGUAAAAAAGAUAAGUUGCUUCCAUAAGUAACAUUAAAAUUCACACUACAAGUUCCGAAAUAUAACAAUUGUCCCAUUCUUACAUUUGAUCCAAAAGGUAUCUGAAUUCCCAAAGUACAAAAUAGCCAAGCAAUCUAGUGAAUUACAUUUGGAAUAUAAUACAGAAGUACUUCAAAAGGGGUUCCAUCAAGUUCCACUCCAUCCAUCCCUAUUAAGGAAAACAAAUCUACGGGAUGAGCAAAACGCUCGUGAGGCCAAGAACACACAUGCAAGUACAUAGUCCAAGUAGCAGACCCAAAUAAUAGGUCAAAUGAUAAAGUGCGAGUAGUUAACAAUUUCAAUGAAAUGUAACCAAAAACAAUUCAAGGAUAUGGUAGUUCUCAGGAGCUAAGUUCCACUUGCUUUGUCAAUGUCAUCCGUAUACCAUCCCGCGAUGACUCUCCGUCAACCGGGUCGGUAUUUCCAAUCCGUAGACCUCCACUUACUUCUCAGGUCCGUCCACCGUACAUACCACACCGGACCUGCACGACAUUUAUAAGACGAUACUCAAUGAGUAUGCCAAGCAAGAUCUCUCCAAUAGAUCAAACUUAUCAUGUGAUUCUCAUGGCUCACCGAGGUUCCCGACCAAACCCAUGUCGGCUCGAGUCCCAAGGUCGGCCUAUGAGUUUGGGUGUCCCUCAUGUACAUUUGAGUGUCGAGGAGGUUCACUCCAACGACGUAUGCAGCCAUAGCAUACUUAUUUCAUGUAAUUCAAGCAUUUGAUACAUUCAAGCAUUUGAACUUUCGAGCAUUUGGCAUAUUAAAACAUUUCAAGUAUGAGUAAUUCAAUUCAAAUUAGAACGAGUGCGAUAAAGUACAUACUCGACUCCAUUUUUCCAAAAUCUCAAGUCCUCAAUAGUAAACAAGCAUGUACAAAGUUCACAGGAGUUCAAGUAGUCACACACAUGACACUCAUCAAGUAAAACAAGAAGGAAUGGCACUCGAAGUUCAAGCGCCCACCGUGGGAUCCUCUUGAAGUUCUUCUUGUGUGCCUGACCAAUUAAUAAUGGACUAUUACUUAUAAACCCCAAACGAUGAGGAAGAUCGUACACUAAUACAAUCUAGAAAAUAUCUCAAAAAUCGAGUCUAGGUUUUCUUUUGAAAAAUCGAGACUCAAGAGAGUUACAAGACUCGAGUAAAAACGGAUCAUUAUCCUUAAGAUCAUUGGAAGGGAACAAGUACGAGCAAAUAGAUCUCAAAACGAACGACGGAAGUCUGAAAAGGGCAGGUGACGUCACAAUCCAGCCGGAUUCCUGGCCGGAUUGGAGGCAGAGACCAACCUCCAAUUUUUUUCAAACUCCAACACCAAUCCGGCCGACUAUUCUGCCAAGAAUUGGCCGGAUUCAAGGCCGGAUUCUGGUGAACAGUUUCCAGCGCAGAUUGCCUUCAAAUGGUCACAAUUUUUUAUUUUUGAUGAAAUCUUUGAAAAAUCAUAACUCACUCCCUGGUUGUCCAAAAUUGGAAAAUUUGGUACCGUUGAAAACAUUUUUCAAAAUACUAAAAGUUUCUAAAAGAACCUUUCCAUGAAUCCAAGUGGAAGGCAUUCAAAUUUUGGCUUGAAGUUGAUAACUAGAGUUAUCAAGAUAGAUUUAAGUUGGUUUUUGGCCAAUUUUGAAAAUUCAGCAAAAUUCACUCAAUUUGAACUAGCCUUUGAAAUUUGAUACUCUACUAGAGUUACAAUCCAAGUUUAAAACAAAAUAAGCGGAACAAGAAUUGAAGUUUUGAACACCAAGAUAUGAUAGUUCAAAGUUAUCCAAAUUUCCUUGUUAAAUAAGGGUUUUCCAAAAUUAAGUCAUGAACUUUGGAAGUUUAGUUGAGAAAUGCAACGGCCUCGGAAUAGCACCAAAAUUAGCAGUAUAAUAUUACCAUAUAAGGACUAUUUCUCUGCCAAAUUUCAUUGAUAAAUAAGCACGGAAAGUUGGUUAACUAAAACACCCAAGUUUCUAAAAUUUCAAGGCAAAACUGCCUUGUGUACAAAAUGUCCUUUAUCUAAGCUUUUGGCCACAUGAAAUCCUUGCAAACAUGGUACAUUUUAGUAGACAAUGUUUAUUAAACAUCCAAGAUAUGUUUGAUGGUGAUUAACACCAAGAAUCUCGAAUUAACAAGUCUCAAUCGAAUUUAGUAACAAUUCUGCCCAAAAGGAGAGUUUUCCUUCAAGAAGUCAGUUUCAAAAUAUGGUCACAAAUCACUCAAUUCAACUGAGAAUUGGGUGUGGUUGGUGGCGUUGGAAAACACUUUCAUUAAUCUACAAUUUCUCAGAAGAAACCAUUUUCAAAAUCCAUCCACAACUAGCUCACAUUUGAGCAUCAAGUUGUAGUUCAUGUUCUGCCCUGUAGUGAACCAAUAAAACAGGACAGCAAUUUUUAAACGAAUGGUUUGGCUUACAUAAGUGGAACCCGAAUGUACAUUUUAUACCAAUAGAAAGCUGAGAAUGUCUAGUUUCCAGUGCCAUAAACGACACUCGAUUUUGACAUCGGAGCAAAAAGUUAUGACUGAAACAAGAUGACUGCCUGGGCAGUUACGGGAACCAUUUUCCUGUUUUCUAAGCUUUCGAAAUCAACACAUUUGGAUGAUCAAAUCAUGUUAUUUUUCAAUGAAACUUUUCACACACUCAAUAUAACACAUAUACAUCACAAAAAACCCAUUAGAAACUCAAAAUUUUGCAUCAAAGGUCACGAACAUGGCAGGGGUAAAAUAGUCACUUUUGCUCAAUGCACCAUCCUUGAGUUUUUAUCAACAACCCAACAUUAUACCACUAAUAAGCACUAAACCAACAUUAAUUUCAUCAUCAAUCACCAAGUCAGUCCAUCCAACCAAAGUGGGAGUUUAUAGAGCCCACACAACAAUUUUUUAACAUAAACAAGCUACCAAUAUGCAUGCAUGAGUUUAAAUGAGCUCUACUACUUCCAUAAAUCAAGUUUCCAAGGUUUGAUCGUUGCUUACUUGUUUAGAUGAACCAAGCAGAAAUUUCGGUCCUCUUACAGCUCACAAAAACCGUGGAAAUGAAGUCCUUUUUCUAGUUUAAGAUGCUCUCCAAGUGAUUAGCAAAAUGUGGUUGAAGUUUGAGGUGAUUUGGUGAUGAUUUAGUGAAGAAAUAAAGAAGAAUUUGAAGCUGUUUUUCCUUCCUUGUUGUUCGGCUGUUUGAGUGAAGGAAUAGAAGAGAUGUUGCUGAUGGUAAGCUUCCGUGAGAAGCUUUAAAAUUUGUGGCUAAAAGUUGCUUCAAAAGUCAACUCUCCCUCGCGCGCACGCGCUCGUUUUGUGCUCGAUUCCUCUUGCAUUUGUUUCACUAGUGCACUAAACCUCUAAUGCACUUCCAUUCAUAUUAUUAUUAUCCACUCUUAUGGGUCUAAAAAUAAUGAUCUGAAGUCCCUCAAUUAAUCACGCGCGUAAAAACGCAUAUUUCCAAUUUAAGUGCAAUAAAGUGAAAUCUCCAAGAAAUUCUUAUAACAAUAGUACCACUAACUAUCACUUGAAUACUUAAGCAUAAAAACACCUAUUUUAAGACCAUUGUGCAAGCCUCUAAUUUUCCAAGCUUAUUGUAUUCUCGAAUCAAUUAUUGACUCCAAUCGAGUAUUCACCAUUUUCACUUAACAAGCUUCCAAAAAUUAAAUUUUGAAACAAGUCACUUUAAAAAUAUAACUAAGCUAUAAUUCCAUAUAAUUAGGUCUAAAAAGGUUAGAAAAUAAUAUUCAAGGCAAUUGCCCAAAUAAAUAAUUAAAUGAGCUUGAAUUAGGAGUUUAAAAUAGAUGAAUUUUGUGAGUCUUCACAUGAGUCUUGUAUUACUUCCUCAAAUCUCUAAUAAAUUUGUAUCAGCGUGUCUUUUGAAAAAUUAUCGACGCGCAAGCGGUAUACACUUACUUAAAACUCAUUCACCUUUAAUUCAUCAAUUAACUCUUUAUCUACUAUUGAUCAUUCUUAAUUCCCCAAGAUAAAUGCACUCUCGAAUAGAAUAUCACCUUGAAACACAUGUACUCAUUAUUCCUCACUUAAAUGAACCUCCGAAAAUUAAAUUUGCUAAUGGGACGUUUUAAAAACAUAAGGAAGACAUUGUUCCAUAUGAAUGGACUUAGAAUGGUUGAAAUAAAUUAUUUGGAGAAAUAGGUGAAUAAAUAUUUAAAUAAACCAAUAAUACUCGAUAAAAAUAAGAAAUUUUUUUUUCGGGUUCUCACAUAAUAUAUGAUAUCCAAGGAUGCCCAGCCAUUAGAAUUGUUGAUAAUCAUAAUAAUCAUCUGAUUACCAAUAAAUAGUUCAAUAAUUAAUGAUCAUUAUGAAUGACUAAACUACAUCUUAAUUUUUUUUGCUUAAAAGGAUCUACUUAAAUUAAGUUCCUUUUCUGAAUAAUAGAUAUAGAGGUUCUUCCUUACACAGAAUUCAAUUAUUGGCAAUCUGGGAAUUUUUCUGUUUCACCAAAACAGUAGGAAGCGGCAAGAUACAUUUGUCGGUGGUGUAGUGUCAGACUAUCAUUUAAUCAUUUACUCCUAAUUAUAGAAUAUUGGUUGGUCCCACAUUAAAGACGUGAUUUAUAAACAACGCCUUCAUAUACACCCUUACGGCAGUUCGUUGAGUUCGGUUGCGUGAACUCCUGGCCAAGCGAGGCAAUCUCCGAACGUCAUGCAAGGACGGUUUCUCGGGCCGGGUUCGCCCUCUUGCCUCCUGUAUUCUUGCCCGAAUGUGGGCUUUAUGACUCGGGAAGUAAUUGAUAAUCAUGUAUCCAAAUUUUGUUCAAAAAAAUUUCAAGGCAUUUUAUCCUCUUUCCUCUACGCGGACAUGCAUAAUCUUGCGUUUCCACGGCAAAUAAUAAUAAUAAUAAUUUUGGUAAUCAUAACUGCCAAAUUCAAAGAAAGCUUGCUUUUGUAUGUUUAUUUUCAAUAAUGUUUUGCAAAUCUAUGUAAAAAUUAUUGUGUUGUAAAAUAGGAAUAUUCGUGUGUUCAUUUUAGACUUCUACUUUUUUGUAAUUUUAAGAAGUAUACUAAUUUUAGGUAAAAUUUUGAUGUACUAUUAGUGUAUACACAAGCAAGUAUAAAAUAUAUAUAUCACAUAAUGUAAAUUCAAAUUUGAAAUUCACUAUUUGCAUAGAUGAUAUACUUUUAUGCCUAUAUGUAUAUAUAAACACACACACACACACACACACACACAUAUAUAUAUAUAUAUGUAUGUAUGUAUAUUAUAUAUUGUAAGUGAGAGGAUCGGAACUCAUAACCUCAUAUUUACAACUCUUCCCAUUUUACCAUCCAAUCUAACUCUUCUAAAUUAUAUAUAUAUAUAUAUAUAUAUAUAUAUCGAUCCUCCAUACAUACGUUCUUUAGUACUUGUGAUUAUUAAUUAUCUCAUUUUAGAUUGAUGAAUUUAUCAAUGACAUUUUUGUUUAAAAAACGUAAUGACAUCAAAUAGGCACAAUGAUCUACACGACAGAAUUGUAUGUAAUAGGCAAUGAUUUUGGAAAUUCAUUUCCAUUACAAGAGACAUAUUGGGGAUUAUAGUUUGUAAUGUGUCAACUAGUCAUAAGCACUUGUCAUCCCCUGUGGGAAGAGAAACAUGUAGUUCACCUAUUCACAAGUGCAAAGAAUAUUUCCUUUAGCAAUUUGAUUCUAACGUAAUUUUUGUAGAACAUGCAAACUCAACAGACAUGGUGUAGGUGUGAACACAUCUGAUUUUGAAAAAAAAAUAUUGCAAUAUGGAACCCAAUUUUGAAUUGGGUCAAUCACAAUCCCAUCUAGCACAUAGUAUCUUGGGAUACAUUUGGAACACUUUAAGAUUUCUAACAAUUUCACUUAGUGCUCCUGAAUUUUGAAAAAUAUCACUUUCCUCCCAUAUUUUUUUUAUUUUUGAUAACACUAUCAACCCAUUUCAAAAUAAAUUAUUAAAAAAGGGAUUAUUAUCAUUUUACCCCCUAACCUUUAUAGCUAUUAUCACUAUACCCUAUAAUAUUAUCUUUUAAUCAGUUUACCCCCAAGACUAACAGUCAAAGCAAACAGCGUUACAUAAUUUAGAUGAAAUGACAUAUGUAGCCCAAAAUAAUAGUUGAUGACAAAAAUGCCCAUUUUGUUCCAAAAUUGCAAUGGGCAGGAAAAAAUGCACGUUAUGUAGGAAAAUUAAAAAAAGGAAAAAAAAAGGGAAAAAGAAAGAGUUAUUGCUUAGGAGGGAACUUAGGAGGGUUCCCUCAUUGAAGUGAAAUUCUUAUUUCAUUCUCUUUUAACGAAGAAAAGAAAUUUUUACAGUGUUUAAACCCCUAAAUUUCUUUAACCUUACAUCUCUGCUCUUUGACGAUCAAAGGAUCAAGUGAUCAACAAAUCCAAAGAAAGAUCGAAAGACUUUGUAGCAGGAGUUGAGAAUUGUUGGUGUGAAAGAAAAAUAAAACAAGGUACAUCUCAAAAUACCCAAAAUGUAAUGUAAUAUGUCUUCUGCAUGUUGAUCCUUUCAAUAUGCUAAAAUGAUUUAGCUGUUCCAAGGUAGUAAUCUUUAAAUCAAUCACGUUAGUGGAUUUGAAAUUCAAGGGAAAUACAGACUUACAACUUAUUGGUUACAAUAACUAAUAUUAUAUUAGUCCUAGCCAACCUACCAAUUGCUCUAUAGAAAAAUAUUCCUAGCCAAGUAUAUGGAUUUUUUAUGAAUUAGUAGAUUGUGAAUCAAUGACUCGAGGCUUUUCUAUUCUUGUACUUUUAUGCGUAUUUCAGUUGGAUGUAUCAUAUAUAUUAUGGUUGACUUUUCAGAGCCACAAGUAUGCACACUUUCAAGAUUCACUAUGAUGGCCAUUUUGUCCAUGCUCCUAUGUUUGAGUACGUGGGGGGAAAAGUAGCACACUUUCUUGACAUUGAUCCUGAUCUCAUGUCAUAUUUUGAAAUUCUUAGCUACUUGAGAAAAAUUAACGUGGAUGAAAACUUUCCGAAGUACUAUAAGAUUUCUGGAUUUGACUUGUUACAUGGGCUUAGACUACUUAACAGUGACAGUAAUGUCUUAGAAAUGCUUGAAUUCAACAGGAACCACAAUAUGGUUGAGAUAUAUGUUGGUUUUGGUGUCGAUAAUGAUGCUUUUGUUGAGGAACCUAUGCUUAAUAAUUUGGUUGACAACAGUGCUCAUCUGGAGCACCUUGAAGUUGGAAAUGCUGCCAAUGAUGAGGGAAAUGGUGCUGGAGUUCAAAAUCAUGAGAGUUUAGAAAAUGAAAAUGAGGACUGUGAUUCUUCUGACGAAGCGUAUCAUGCUGAAGAAGGAGGAUCAAGUGAUGAUUCUAAUUUUGAAUUUUUUCUUGAUGAUUGAAUGAUGGGUGUGAUCCAUGGGAAGGGGAAGAAAAUUUAGAGGAAACAAAUGAACAGCAAAACUUCUCAGAUUAUAGUGAAUAUGCUCAGUUGAUUGCAAAGGAGUACCAGGCUUAUGUUGCCUCUAGGGAGAAGGGAAAAAUGUUAGAGACAGAGUUUGUCAGUGAUGAUGAAGUAUUGACUGUUGCUUUAAACUCAUCUGAUGAAGAACAACAUGAAGAUUUUCCUGAAUUUAAUAUUGAAAAGGACAUGGAGAAGCCUAACUUAGAAGUUAGACAUCUAUUUACUAAUGUGCAAGAUUUUAGGCUUGCUAUAAGACAUCAUUCUAUAGUAAAUGGGUUUGAGAUAAAUUGGAAAAGAAAUGACAAUGAUAGGAUUGUGAUCACUUGCAAAAGAAAUUGUGGCUGGAGAGUGUAUGCCAGUGAGUAUAGGGAUACCAAACAAUUCCAAAUAAAAACACUAGAUAGAACUCCUCAUCAAUGUCUACAUUCCUACAAGAACAAGAGUGCUAAUGCAAAAUGGAUAGCCCAAAGGUUUAUUAGAGACAUUGCGGAUAAUCCAUCUCUAAAAAUUGAUGUACUUAAGAAGGUAGUGAAAAGAAAAUAUAAUGUGAAUGUGUCUGACCAACAACUUUACAGGGCUAAGAGUAAGGCAGCUAAGAUGAUCCAGGGUGAUCAUAAGAUGCAGUAUUGGAGAAUUAGGGACUAUUGUGCUACAAUAAUUUGUAAGAAUCCAGGUUUUGUUGCUAUUGUAGUAAUUGAGAGAUUGCCUAUGUGCCCUAAUCCGAUCUUCAAGAGAAUGUUUGUGAUGUUUUCUACUCAAAAAGAAGGCUGUAUUGUUGCAUGUAGACCUGUGAUAGGACUAGAUGCUUGUCAUAUAAAAUCUACAAUGGGGGGGACAGUUGAUGGCUGCUGUUGGUAGAGAUGCUAACAAUCAGAUGUAUCCACUCGCUAUGGCACUAGUAGAGUCUGAAUGCAAAGAUAGCUGGGACUGGUUCCUUGACCUACUAACUGAUCAUAUUGGAUUACCAAGUGAAUUAGGUUGGGUUUUCAUCUCUGAUAGACAAAAGGUUAGUCAACUAUUAUUUUGGUUUAGUUGACAAAUUUUUUUCCCAUUUAUUUUACACAUGAUGCUAAUUACGUAUUUUGUUUACAUGGAUUGAUUGAGAUAAUGGAGAACAGAUUUCCUAGAGUUGAGCAUAGAUAUUGUGUCAGGCAUAUGUACGCCAAUUUUAAACUACGAUUCAAAGAUAAACAAUUGAGGAAUAUCAUGUGAGCGGCUGCUAGAGCCUAUGUACCAAACAGAUUUGAGGCUAAUAUGAGAGAAUUACAAGCAAUAUCACCUGAAGCUCAUGCAUGGUUAAGAGUUGUUCCAACAAACUUAUGGGCAAGACACAUUUUUUCUAGUAGAACUAAGUAUGACCUUCUAACCAACAACAUAUGCAAGAGCUUCAAUCAAUAUGUUAAGAAGGCAAGGCAAGAACCUAUUUUGAUCAUGUUUGAGAAUAUUAGAAGACAAAUCAUGUGUAGAUCUCAUGAGAAAAGACAAUGGAUUAAAAGAGUUCAGUCCAAAAUCUGCCCAAGAAUAGUUGAGAAAAUAGAUAACCACAAGACUCAGGUGCCACUUUUUGAAAGUAGGGAAUCAGAAAGUGGGAUAUGGGAAAUUGCUGAACCUACUAAGAGUUAUAUAGUUUCCAUUAAUGAAGGUAGCUGCACAUGUAAAGAGUGGGAAAUGACAGGCAUCCCAUGUGUUCAUGCUUGUGUGGCAAUUGUGAAUAGGGAUGGUGAGCCAGCUAACUUUGUUCAUGAUCGGUACACAGUUGACAUGUAUAAAAGGGCCUACAUGAACCUUAUUAUACCAGUUCCAGAUGAAAACAAGUGGGUGAAAUCAAAUACAGAUCCAGUGGCACCCUCUCUUAUAAGAAAAGCACUCAGCAGGCCAACAAAGAAAAGAAGAAAGGGACCUGAUGAGAACCAGCAAUCCAACAAACUUAGCAAAAAAGGCAUACCAAUUCAUUGCAGUCACUGUGGUCAUACAAAUCACAAUGUAAGGAGCUACAAAAACACUGGCUGCUUGUAUGUUAGGAAAAGAAAACAGGUAGUGACCAGCUUUAUUUGAUUCAUAAUUCAACAAGUUUCAGCUUUUUGUUAGCUUAGUUCUUUAUCUUUUUUGUUCUAGGUUGAAAAAGCUACCGGUAACAAUUCAGAAGAAACUAGCAUACAACCAAAAAAUUCCCAAGUUGCACGUACAUGCAGUGUUAGAGAUAGGGGAAUUGCUAUUGGAAGGGGGUGUGGCUUAAGUGUUAACUACAAUAGAGGUAAGAGAACUAAGAUGGGAAGGGGUCGUGGCAAAUGUGUAAGCUAUGGUCCAUUGAGUGGGAUUGACAACUGGAAUGGUAUGGGAAUGUCAACUGGAACAACUUUUAUUCACCACUCAAGAAUCGUAAAAUUGUUCACUUUUGCCUAGUUUCCUUUAUCAGUACAAUCAUCACUCAUAAAUGUAAUUCAUUGCAGAUUUCCCCACAAAUGGUGCCUACAAAGUGUGCUAGUCAGAGUGGAAGUGAAGGCAGAGUGACUACUAUUAGAGCUGGUGGAGGAAGCAAUGGUGAUAUUAUGAGUGAGAAAGCAAGUGCUGAUAUUAUGAGUGACAAAGCAAGUGGUGAUUUUAUGACCGGAGCUCCAUUUAGAACUUCAAGCAGUAAAAACUACAACGCUGGAAAUCAGGUUAGAAUAUUGAAGCCUUGUGCAAUUUAAUAAACUCCAGUGAUGUAGUGUUGGUUGUACGGUUAUGCUUUUUCAUAUUUUCACAUCUUCUUUUAGGUUCACAAGGUGCAAACUAGAUAUGGAGUCCAUUUGCUAUCCAGCAAAGGAUCGUCAAGUGCUGCUUCAAAGUCCAGCAUACCAGUUGGCAAAAAAUGAUAUUUCUAAUGGUCAACAAUUUGAAGAUAAUGUUUUGUUCUUUUCUUUUUGGAUGAAUUGAUGAUAUUUUGUUAUUAAUUUUGAUGGAUUCCCACUAAUGACAGAUAGUGAAUGAUUUUUUUUUUGUCCCAACCAGACAAUGAUUAUGCUUUAUAUAUAUGUAACAGCGAGCUAAACUUGAUAUUGAGAAUACAUUCAAGGUCAAUAGAAUUUUUUUUUAUUUGGUGGUAGCAUCUAACAACAGUCGUUAAUCUUCUUCAUUGUCACUUGGUAUAUGAAAUUUCAAUUUUUUUGAAAGUUUGCAAAAAGGAUCUAUCAGUCUGAAAAAAGCAAAAAAUAGUUUCUAGUAUAAGAAGUUCCAGAUGAUUUUUUUACACUUACGAAAAAAUAUAAAUAUGUCCAGAAAAAUUUUAUAUUAUAACCUUGUAGGUAGAGUAGACAAGAAAUUAAGAGAAUAAAAUAAGAAAUAAAAAAAUAAAAAUUAAGGGAUUUGUGAACGAUUUAAGAAAAAAGAGAAUAAAAAAAGGUUGGAUAUCAUUUUAAGAGAAAAGGAAUUUAAAAAAAAAUCAAGACAAUUGCAAAUACUAUGAGCAAAAAAAAAAGAAGAAACAAGUUCUUCAAGGCUUAAGGGUAUUUUCGUCUUAAAAAUUAGUAACAACGAGUUGGCUAACGGAAAUGGGUAAACUGACUAAAGAAUAAUAUUAUGGGGUAAAGUGAUAGUAGCUAUAAAGGUUAGGGGAUAAAAUGAUAAUAACCCUUAAAAAAAAAACUCAUUUUUGGAUAAAGAAGAUGAUUUCAUUCCAAACGUGCCCUUAUUCAUCCUAGUUUUUUUUUUGAAAAAAUUUAAAAGUAUAUUAAGAAAAGGUUGAAAUUAAUAGACAUAUUGUUUGAAUGUGCAAUUUUAGUGGGAUACAAUAUAACAGUAAGUGUUUUAAGGUAUAAAUAAUUUAUUUUUAAGAGUAUAUUUGAGGUGCUUUCAAACCAAAAAAAUAUUAUUAAUUGCAAAGUGUUUACCAUCAAUUUGAUGAGUUUUUUAAAUUAUUAGAAUUUCUGAAAAAUAGAAUAAAUUUAUAUUAUAUUUAAAAACUCAUUUUAUAUGUUUUCGAAGACUAAAAGGAGUUAUUAUUUUAUUGAAAAAUGUUUGUGAAUUUCUAAAUUUAAUAUAUAUUGUUUCAACUAAUGAUAUGAAAACUAUUAAAAUAUUUUUCAAUCUUGUUAACAUCCUAUAAUUCUUGGCUACAAAAUUAUAACGGCAAAGUUUUAAAAGUUUAAGAUAUUAACUAAUUUAUUAUGAAAACAAAAAAGACGUACAAGAAAAGGGCAACAUUGGAAUGAACACGAAUUCUCUAUUCAAACAUAAGUUUUUUAAUAAUAUAUUAUAAAAUGAGUUUACACUGCUAUAGAAAAAAGUUGAAAAUAAAGGAGGCAAAUAAUAUCUUUUAAAAUUCAAGAGGUUAAGUGAAUUGUCACGGAACUCAAGGAAAGCCGGUGAAAUUAUCCCAAAUAUCUUUAUCCCAAGUGUCCUUAUCCACGUUAAAAGAUUGUGGGGAUAAUUACUCUGAGUUUAAAGUUUUAAACCGCACUUUCAAUUAUCAAUUGACUAGAUCGUAUUGAUUUAUGAGCUCCACUUUAGAUUAUAUUUUGCACUAAAAUUUCGAUUACCUCUGAAUGUUAUUCUAAUUUUGUUAUAUGAUUUCCAGUAAUUUCGAUUGUUGAAAAAAAUGUCUUUAUCCACAAUAACCCUUCGCACAAUUUCUUCCUAGAAAGGACGGAAGAGAAAUCAAGUAGCCCUAGUUGAUGCAUAUCAGUACUGAACUACUGAUGAGUAGUGACUCACAACAGGAUAAGCACUAAGGAUAUGAGAUGAGAGAUCUCGUGGACCAAUCAAUUUGCGGAUUUUGAUAAUCUGUGGACCAUGUAAUAUGCUUGUGGUGUAUAUUUUUUUGAAGGUAAACUACUUUUUUUUGUCUUAGUAAUAUUAUUUUAUGUAUCCAUGGACCAUGUGUUAUUAAUUUAUUACACUGGAUAGUAGAUACCGAAUAGUCAAAUACCACCUGUCAUUUUGCUGAAGCUGAUGGCUUCUUUUUUUUUUUUUCAAUUAUGCCCUUUUCGCAUAAAAUUGCCCUUUUCAACUUUCUUGGGUUUUCUCUAAAUUGACUGAGAAGCAUAUGGUGGGGUCCAGAGCAUUAAUAGUUGAGUUGAACAGUUGAAGUCAAAUCCGUGAUAAUUUGUGGUUCACGUUUCUCUGAUUUUCUUUACGUCAUUCAUGACGUAAACAUUUUUGUAUUUAUAGGUUAGAACAGCCAUUGGAUGACAGCCACUGUGGGUUUCACACCCAUAGACACCUAUCAAAACAGUUUCAUUAAUUUAACAAAUUUAGUUUCUUAAUUAUACUUAAUUAUUCAAAGACCCAAAAUAUUUUUUAAAAUUGAUUUUUCUUUGGUUUUCUUAUUUUGCAUUAAGAGAUAAUUUUAGUAACCUCCUCUCAUAUUUAUAUUAAUAUCAUUUGAUAUCCCUAAAAUUUAAGAAAGUUCACCUACCUCCCUUAUUUUUAACAUUUUUUUAACUUUAUCAAUCCAUUUCAAAAGAUUUGAUUUAAAAACUUAGGCCCUGUUUGGAUUGCCAUUUUCUGUCAGAAAAUUGCGUCGUUUUCCGUGAUCACAUUUCCCUAUUACCUUUUUCCCUCACAUACAUCAAAUCGCUACAGUAAUUUUUCCAUGAAAAAUGACGAAAAAUGCAAUCCAAACGGGACCUUAGUUUGAGAGAGAUAAAACAUUUCUUUUCAAAAACUACCCGUUUCUUGUGCACAAUUACUUUUCAUAAUAAAUCAAAUUAAAUCCUUAAGAAUUACAAUAUAUUAAUGAAAUUGAAAGACCUUUUUGUAACUUUCUAUGUUAUCGGUCCGGACAAGAAAUGCAAAAGAAAAAUUGUUAUUAUUAGAAAAAAAUAACAUUUUGCAUCUUGAAAAUACCUCAAAUGAGUUUCUAAAAAUAUUGUUAAUAAUUUAUCUUUCUCUUAUAUUCAAGCCAUCGAUUUGGACAAAAAGUUAGAAUACUAAACAAAAUUCUAUAAGUUUUAUAAAAUUCUAAAUUUAUCUAAAAAUACUUUUUAAUAAAGAAAGUUACUUUUACAUUUUUUGGAAACACCUCAAAUGAGUAAAAAACAUUAUGUCUGUUUUUUAUACUCAAGUCAUCUGUCUAUACAAAAAAUUUAGAAAGUUCAUUUUUUUAACAUUCAUAAAACUCCUCAAAUUAAUGAAAACACUUCAUAGUGAACGAAAAAUAUUUUAGCUUGAACGCACCCUUAAAUAGUAAUCUUUUGUGCCUUAAAAACACCUACUCGUAUAAUUUUUUCUAUUAGAAUUAAAGCAUUUCCUCUCUCCAAAUAUGAGUUUCUUAAUAAUAUUUUUUGAAUUGGGCUGAUAACAUUACAAAAAGCUGAAAAUGAGAAAGGUAAGUGAAAUUUUUUCAAAAUUUAGGGGUAUCAAGUGAUGUUGCAACAGACCUUAAGGGAGGUUUCUGAAACUAUUCCUUGCAUUAAUGUAGAAAUUGUUGGUUGGCUUCGCAAAGGUAGAAAAGCUGCGACCCCUUGGCACGUCAGGUUGAUGAUAGAGCACUUUUCUUUCGUUGAUUUUGAAGUUUAAGCUGGUACAGUUUUAAUAUGUUUAUACGUCUAUGGAAUUGCAAAAAUGAUGAUAAUUUUUAAUCAAUUAAGGAAAAUUUUUUUCUCUCCAUAAAAAAAUUUAGCGUCUUAAUCGACUUUGCAGUCCAUUAGUAUACAAAAUCUUACAUGUGCCUCACUCUCUCAUAGAUUUCCGUUUGUAAACAUCCCAGAAUUCCGAUGCAUUAUGAAAUAUCAUCAAAUAGGUUGCUAGUAAAGAAGAGAGUGACUUUUCUUGGAGGAAGAAGACGGUGACUUAAAAGUCCGUUGCAUCAAUUUUUCUUUUGAGUAAUAAUCCUCAUUAUCAUUUGUUGGCAAUCAUUUUAGUUCAAACCCCCCUUAGUCAAAGUACUCAAAGGAACUACUGCCUUAAUCUGUCCAUAUGAAAAGAAAAGGGCUUCCACCGAGACUGUAAAUAACAAGAUGAUUGACAAGUUAGAUGGCAUACCUUCUGAUUAAACAAUAGUCACCAAUAGUUAAGUAUUUAAUUAAACAAUAGUCAGCUUGCCGCAGCAUAUCCAAGUCACCAAUAGCAACAUACCUUUUGAUUCUACACCAAUAAAUUAAUCCUUUCCUCGUAUUCUCCCAAAGAUUAAGGAAAAAAAAGUAAGAUUAUAGAAACAAAGAAAGUUCAGUCAUGCCCCUAGCUUGAGUAAAUCGAGGGAAAGAAAAACAAUAUAUAUAAGAGGGAAGUCAGACAAGUCGUUUAUUGAAAAUUUUUUAACAAUAUUUUUAUAAUCUAACCUAUCUUAUUUAUUUUAUAUGAGAGUGAAGUCUAAAAAAAUUAUAUAAAAAAUUAAUAAAUAUACAAAGAUGACUAGACAAAAGAAUGUUUUAACAUCUCCUUUUAUUUUUCAUUUGUUUUUCUCGGCAAAUGAAAUUGAAUUCUCGACUUACAGAGAGUUACCGUCUAGAGAGAAAUUUGGAAUAUGCUUGGAUUAUAAUUUUUUAAAAAAAAUUAUUAUAUUUUUUAUAAACAUAUUUUUUUAAUCACUUUUUUACUUCACAAAUAUCAAAAUACUACAAUAAUUUUUCUACAAAAAAUUCAAAAAAAUACAAUCUAAACAAAAUCUUAAUCUUUUUUUGAUGGUGGUAUAACAAUAAUUAUGAAUAUAUGUAAACCCCCGAGCAGAAACUAUGUAGUUUCUACAGGUGUCUAUUGUCUUAUAUAUAUAUAUAUAUAUGUAUUAUUUUUUUACUAGAAGAAAUUCUCAAAAUAUUUUCACAUCUUCAUUUUAUUUUAAAUUAAAUAGAAAAUAAAAAAUUUCUAUUUCAAUUGAGCACAACCUGUCUUUUGUUGCCUCCCCAAAAAAAAAAAAAAAAAAACAGAGCCAAAGCUUAUUGACAAUUUAUCCAAAAAUAUAUAUAUUUUAUUGAAAAUUUUUUAAGAGUACUUUUUGUGAUCACUUUUUGUUUUAUAUAAAUCAAAUGUUUAAAGAUGGCAAAAUAUUAUUUAUUUUUCUAAAAUUACUUCUUAAAACCGCAAUCCGAAUUUACACCUCAUAAUCCUAUCUCCCAAUUUAACCCAACAAGGCACAAUUAGAUGCCAAUUCUCAUUCUCAUCGCCAAAUACCACCAAAAUGCUGAUUAGAUUUGACCAACAAAAAAGGGGAUUAAAAAUAUGUACAAUACAUUAACCAUAAUCCACAUAGUCAACAAAAGAUAAAGUAGCCUCAGCUACCAAAAGCCGAAAAAAAAAAGGCCAAAAAAAAAACAAAAAGGAGCAGAGAAGUAAAAGUGAUUAAGCUAAAAAGUAAAAUCCACCCAAAAUUUGAUUUUACUUCACAAUUCAGUAGGUCGGAACGACGCCGUAAGACGCAUCAGCAACUAUUAACGAUUCAAUUUCAACUUCCGCCCGCUUCGCAAACCUUCCUUUAAUUCUGGGUCGGGUCUCC